RNAcentral lists this ribosomal RNA (378 nucleotides) under uncultured soil bacterium. RNAcentral's name for it is "bacterial SSU rRNA". It matches the Rfam family "Bacterial small subunit ribosomal RNA", at positions 26 to 411 of the family's 1533-position model. The record is from RNAcentral.
AGAUUGAACGCUGGCGGCAUGCCUUACACAUGCAAGUCGAACGGCAGCACGGGAGCAAUCCUGGUGGCGAGUGGCGAACGGGUGAGUAAUAUAUCGGAACGUGCCCAGUCGUGGGGGAUAACGCAGCGAAAGCUGUGCUAAUACCGCAUACGAUCUAUGGAUCGAAAGCGGGGGAUCGCAAGACCUCGCGCGAUUGGAGCGGCCGAUAUCAGAUUAGCUAGUUGUGGGGUAAGAGCCUACAAGGCGACGAUCUGUAGCUGUCUGAGAGGACGACCAGCCACACUGAACUGAGACACGGUCCAGACUCCUACGGGAGGCAGCAGUGGGAAUUUGGACAAUGGGCGCAAGCCUGAUCCGAGCAAUGCCGCGUGACGAGGA